RNAcentral lists this long non-coding RNA (393 nucleotides) under Citrus sinensis (sweet orange). Its description in RNAcentral is "long non-coding RNA (CSIN_LNC000589)". The record is from RNAcentral. Lineage: Eukaryota; Viridiplantae; Streptophyta; Magnoliopsida; Sapindales; Rutaceae.
AAUACAUAUACCAACCGACAAUUUUCACCGAGUAAUUACCAACAAAAAUUUUUACCCAACCGGCAAUAUACCAAAAAUUUUUCAGAACCACCCAGCACAAAAAACCAUACCCAGAAUGCUGGUAAAUCUGCAAAAUCAAACCUCAACUGUCAAUAAGCCACCAUCCAGUGUGCAAAACCAGGCUCAAAGUUCAGAAAUUUCUUAUAAAGAUUAAAUUUUGAAGGCGAAUCAUACCUCAUUUGUCAAUAAGGCACCAUCCAGUGUGAAGAACCAAACUCAAAGUUCGGAAAUUUUUGUUAAAGAUCAAAACUUGAAGGCAAAUCAGAGUGAUGCACCUGCUAGCAAGAGCACUAAUUCAAGCUCAUUGGUGAAGGAUGGAGUGGCAUCGAAUGA